Molecule: ribosomal RNA, 301 nt
Filed under: uncultured bacterium
Lineage: Bacteria
Description: partial 16S ribosomal RNA
Rfam family: Bacterial small subunit ribosomal RNA
Source: RNAcentral
CAGCCGCCGCGGUAAAACGGAGGGUGCAAGCGUUAAUCGGAAUUACUGGGCGUAAAGCGCACGCAGGCGGUCUGUCAAGUCAGAUGUGAAAUCCCCGGGCUUAACCUGGGAACUGCAUUUGAAACUGGCAGGCUAGAGUCUUGUAGAGGGGGGUAGAAUUCCAGGUGUAGCGGUGAAAUGCGUAGAGAUCUGGAGGAAUACCGGUGGCGAAGGCGGCCCCCUGGACAAAGACUGACGCUCAGGUGCGAAAGCGUGGGGAGCAAACAGGAUUAGAUACCCCGGUAGUCCCUGUCUCUUAUAC